CCUACGGGAGGCAGCAGUGGGGAAUAUUGGACAAUGGGGGGAACCCUGAUCCAGCCAUGCCGCGUGUGUGAAGAAGGCCCUCGGGUUGUAAAGCACUUUCAGUGAGGAAGAACGCCUGGUGGUUAAUACCCAUCAGGAAAGACAUCACUCACAGAAGAAGCACCGGCUAACUCCGUGCCAGCAGCCGCGGUAAUACGGAGGGUGCGAGCGUUAAUCGGAAUUACUGGGCGUAAAGCGCGCGUAGGUGGCUUGAUAAGCCGGUUGUGAAAGCCCCGGGCUCAACCUGGGAACGGCAUCCGGAACUGUCAAGCUAGAGUGCAGGAGAGGAAGGUAGAAUUCCCGGUGUAGCGGUGAAAUGCGUAGAGGUCGGGAGGAAUACCAGUGGCGAAGGCGGCCUUCUGGACUGACACUGACACUGAGGUGCGAAAGCGUGGGUAGCAAACAGGAUUAGAUACCCCGGGAGUC
RNAcentral lists this ribosomal RNA (465 nucleotides) under Vreelandella stevensii. RNAcentral's name for it is "partial 16S ribosomal RNA". It matches the Rfam family "Bacterial small subunit ribosomal RNA", at positions 338 to 795 of the family's 1533-position model. Lineage: Bacteria; Pseudomonadati; Pseudomonadota; Gammaproteobacteria; Oceanospirillales; Halomonadaceae. The record is from RNAcentral.